UAGAGGACUGCUAAUUGAAGGGCUUUGAUUUCCUGAGAAAACCCAGUUCCCUCAACAAUAGAGGAGAUGCUUUUGCAAAAGGACCGCACCAAGGACUCUUGACCACUGAGGCUGC
Ailuropoda melanoleuca (giant panda) is the source of this 115-nucleotide long non-coding RNA. RefSeq lists it as uncharacterized. The record is from RefSeq and is a predicted model, not a curated record. NCBI's taxonomy places the organism in Eukaryota, Metazoa, Chordata, Mammalia, Carnivora, Ursidae. The transcript has 3 exons.